RNAcentral lists this long non-coding RNA (833 nucleotides) under Cyanistes caeruleus (blue tit). RNAcentral describes it as "lncRNA (ENSCCEG00000019338.1)". Lineage: Eukaryota; Metazoa; Chordata; Aves; Passeriformes; Paridae. The record is from RNAcentral.
UGAGUUCAGGAAGUAGCUGCUGUAAAAGGAGAUUUUCUGGUACCAGCUGAGGAGCAUUUGUGGAGGAAUCAUGGAAGGUGUUUUUGUGGGGUGGCAGUUGACUUAGGAAGGUCACAGGGAAGAGGAAAGAGUGGUUGCUAAUGUCUAAUUUAGAUUUUGGUCUUUUUAGAGAGAGGAGGUGUAUGGACUGAUUCAGAUUUCUUCUGAAGGCAAGCAGUGACGAGGAAGUCAGAAGUUAAGAUAGUGAUAUUCCCAGAUAUUCCUCAAACCAGGGUUCAGAGUCUCCUCCUGGUGGGGUCAUGGAUUUAUACCUAUCUGAUGGUUUUGGAUGUGACCAGCAGCUGCAGAUCUCAAGAAGAUAUGUGGUGCAUCUUUUGCAAAGAUCAGAUACCAGAAGAAGAAAAAGGAUCUUUGGGUUGUGCUUAUUCUGAGAUGAACUUUGCUUGAAACGAAAAAGGUGCCACCUCCCCAAAUGACCACCAGAGACCCCCAAAGGUGCAGUGACAAGUAUUACAUAAGACUGCAGAAGCUUAACAGUUAUGCAAUAGGUGAGUGGUAGUUGUAUUAGAUAGGCAGGUUUAUGUGCUUUCAGUGUAUAAAUUCACUUGCUGUUUAUUCCUUGGCAAGACUGAUUUAUGGAAAAUUUCCACCUUGCACCCUGUGCAGAAAAAAAAAAAAGUCUCCUUUCUAUAACUGACUCUGUUUGUAUAAAGAGAGUUUCAAAAUUGGUCAAUUUAUGAUGUACCCAUUGCAAACUUUUUGGACAAAAAUAUAUUCAAGUGAACUUGUGAAUUUCUAAGUUCUUAUUUCAAAUGCUAGAUGCUUUAGGGAUU